AACAAACGCAGUCAGGGUCGGCUCCGGCGGCGCAGCGCCGGUACCUCUUCCCGUCGCCCCCGAAGAGUUAGGGUUCUCCUGUUCUUCGAAGGACAGGUGCAAUGGAGGGAGCCCUAGCGAACGCUUCUUCAAUCGCGGACCAGAGGUAGAGGAUCGAGCAGUACAAGCACAUCUUGGCCUCCAUCCUCGCCUCCAACGACAUAGCCCAGGCCAAGAAGUUCAUCGAUCACAUGCUCUCCGAUGAUGUCCCGCUCGUGGUGUCGCGGCAGCUGUUGCAGAACUUGGCCUAGGAAUUGGGGGUUCUGGCCCCGAAGACGCAAAAGGAGAUUGCCCAUUACACGCUCACCCAAAUACAGCCUAGAGUCGUUUCGUUUGAAGAGCAGGUACUAAUAAUAAGAGAGAAGCUUGCAGAAUUAUAUGAAUCAGAGCAACAAUGGUCAAAAGCAGCUCAAAUGCUUAGUGGCAUUGAUCUAGACUCAGCAAUGAG
This is a long non-coding RNA of Syzygium oleosum, 487 nucleotides long. RefSeq lists it as uncharacterized. The record is from RefSeq and is a predicted model, not a curated record. NCBI's taxonomy places the organism in Eukaryota, Viridiplantae, Streptophyta, Magnoliopsida, Myrtales, Myrtaceae. The transcript is spliced from 3 exons.